AGACGGGUGAGUAACGCGUGGGAACGUACCUUUCACUACGGAAUAGCUCUGGGAAACUGGUGGUAAUACCGUAUACGCCCUUAGGGGGAAAGAUUUAUCGGUGAAAGAUCGGCCCGCGUUGGAUUAGCUAGUUGGUGAGGUAAUGGCUCACAAAGGCGACGAUCCAUAGCUGGUCUGAGAGGAUGAUCAGCCACACUGGGACUGAGACACGGCCCAGACUCCUACGGGAGGCAGCAGUGGGGAAUCUUGCACAAUGGGCGAAAGCCUGAUGCAGCCAUGCCGCGUGAAUGAUGAAGGCCUUAGGGUUGUAAAAUUCUUUCGUCAGGGAUGAUAAUGACCGUACCUGAAGAAGAAGCCCCGGCUAACUUCGUGCCAGCAGCCGCGGUAAUACGAAGGGGGCUAGCGUUGUUCGGAAUUACUGGGCGUAAAGCGCACGUAGGCGGACUUUUAAGUCAGGUGUGAAAUCCCGAGGCUCAACCUCGGAACUGCAUUUGAAACUGGGAGUCUGGAGAUCAGGAGAGGUUAGCGGAAUACCGAGUGUAGAGGUGAAAUUCGUAGAUAUUCGGUGGAACACCAGUGGCGAAGGCGGCUAACUGGACUGAUACUGACGCUGAGGUGCGAAAGUGUGGGGAGCAAACAGGAUUAGAUACCCUGGUAGUCCACACCGUAAACGAUGAGAGCUAGUUGUUGGCAGGCAUGCCUGUCGGUGACGCAGUUAACACAUUAAGCUCUCCGCCUGG
Molecule: ribosomal RNA, 740 nt
Filed under: Hyphomonas neptunium
Lineage: Bacteria; Pseudomonadati; Pseudomonadota; Alphaproteobacteria; Hyphomonadales; Hyphomonadaceae
Description: bacterial SSU rRNA
Rfam family: Bacterial small subunit ribosomal RNA
Source: RNAcentral